RNAcentral lists this ribosomal RNA (101 nucleotides) under Megasphaera micronuciformis. Its description in RNAcentral is "partial 23S ribosomal RNA". It matches the Rfam family "Bacterial large subunit ribosomal RNA", at positions 2827 to 2925 of the family's 2925-position model. Lineage: Bacteria; Bacillati; Bacillota; Negativicutes; Veillonellales; Veillonellaceae. The record is from RNAcentral.
AGUAAGGCCCCAUGAAGACGACAUGGUUGAUAGGCCGGGAGUGGAAGUGCAGCAAUGCAUGGAGCGGACCGGUACUAAUAGGCCGAGGACUUAUCUUACAA